RNAcentral lists this small nuclear RNA (34 nucleotides) under Cervus elaphus hippelaphus. Lineage: Eukaryota; Metazoa; Chordata; Mammalia; Artiodactyla; Cervidae. The record is from RNAcentral.
AUCACUUCUCAGUCUUCUGGCCAAGAUCAAGUGU